CUAUUGAUGAUAGGUACCUUGAUCAAGCGGGGGAUGUUAUUUGGAUGGCACCAUUUUUAUCAGUGAUAUGCAGCACUUGGGAAAACUCGGUCCCGGUAUUUGCUAUACAAGGACGUGAACAGGAAUCCACCGUAAAGUCUUGUAAUCA
Telopea speciosissima is the source of this 148-nucleotide long non-coding RNA. RefSeq lists it as uncharacterized. Lineage: Eukaryota; Viridiplantae; Streptophyta; Magnoliopsida; Proteales; Proteaceae. The record is from RefSeq and is a predicted model, not a curated record. The transcript is spliced from 2 exons.